Molecule: non-coding RNA, 422 nt
Filed under: Metschnikowia bicuspidata var. bicuspidata NRRL YB-4993
Lineage: Eukaryota; Fungi; Ascomycota; Pichiomycetes; Serinales; Metschnikowiaceae
Description: Eukaryotic small subunit ribosomal RNA
Rfam family: Eukaryotic small subunit ribosomal RNA
Source: Rfam by way of RNAcentral
GAUUGUUGUUGCUUGUGUUUUCUUGAUGUUGUUGUUUGUUCUUUGUUGUUGUUUGUUGCUAGUACCGGUGAUGUUGGUGGUGAUGUGAGUGUUGUUGCAGUGCUCGGCGGGUCCGACUCAUGGCUCGCGCCUUAAGCCAUGGGUGCAACCCCGCGCCCACGGCCAGAUAUCCCGUUUUCGGGGGUGGGCCAUAAUUACUAUGAGUAAAUCAGAGUGUUCAAAUCAGGCAAGCGCUUAAAUCUUUCAGCAUGGAAUAAUAAAAUAGGACGAUGAUUCCAUUUGGUUGGUUUCAAGGACCAUCGUAAUGAUUAUUAGGGACGUUCGGGGGCGUUAGUAUUCAGUUGUAAGAGGUGAAAGUCUUGAAUGUUCUGAAGACCAACUACUGCGAAAGCAUUCGUCAAGGACGUUCUUACAACAUGAUC